CUCUUCUCACUUUGUUUUCUUUUGGAACAGAAUAUUUGCUUUUAAUAUUCCUCCUUCAUCCUUCAAACAAAUUUGAGAAUUGCUGUUCCCACAUUACAUAAGGCUGUGAUACACGAGUAAAUGACGUUUUUGCCCCUUCGGUAGUUAGCUGUCGAGGAAAAUGUUAUAAGAACAUAACAGACAUAGGAGUUUCCAAAACUCUAUUGUUGCGUUUUUGAUUUUCCUUGCUGCGAUUUUGAGCAAUUUGAAGCUAUUCCAAGCGAAUUUCAAUCACAAAAACAAGUAAGUUUUCUGAAUCCUAUUGCAUUGUUGUUUUGUGGUCGAAUUGUUUGUUUUUUUUUUGUUUGUUAAAUUUCGAUUAUAUAGGUUCGAUUAUAUUGAUUUUAUGAUAUGUUAGGAUUGUUUAGGUUAGAAUUGUUAGAGAACUUUUAUUGAAUUGUUAGGUUUAGGUUUUGAUGAAUCGUUGUAGAAUUGUUAGAAUUGUUUAGGUUUAGGUGAUGAGAAGAACAAAUAAAAAUCGCCUAUGACAUGACACGAAAUUGUUUGCGAUGGUUUGGAAAAAAAGAAGGGUUCGAAGGUGCUGGUGUACAAUCACUCGAGGUUGAGGAGGAGCGGGAGGACAUGCUAUUUUGGUCCUCAACCAAAACAAGGUGCCGCAGGGACUAUAGCGGGAAACCUGAUUGACUUGUGUGACGAGGAUGAAUGAAUGAAUGCCUAAUUGUUUUCGAUUUUUUUAUGUUUUAUUUUUGUGUUCCGCACAUUUUGUUUGACAUUAUGGUACUUAGAAUAAAAUCGCAUUUGGAAUAAUUUCG
This 812-nucleotide long non-coding RNA is filed under the name Medicago truncatula (barrel medic). RNAcentral's name for it is "lncRNA gene44338". Lineage: Eukaryota; Viridiplantae; Streptophyta; Magnoliopsida; Fabales; Fabaceae. The record is from RNAcentral.